RNAcentral lists this ribosomal RNA (466 nucleotides) under Streptococcus mutans. Its description in RNAcentral is "bacterial SSU rRNA". It matches the Rfam family "Bacterial small subunit ribosomal RNA", at positions 28 to 470 of the family's 1533-position model. Lineage: Bacteria; Bacillati; Bacillota; Bacilli; Lactobacillales; Streptococcaceae. The record is from RNAcentral.
GACGAACGCUGGCGGCGUGCCUAAUACAUGCAAGUGGGACGCAAGGGAACACACUGUGCUUGCACACCGUGUUUUCUUGAGUCGCGAACGGGUGAGUAACGCGUAGGUAACCUGCCUAUUAGCGGGGGAUAACUAUUGGAAACGAUAGCCAAUACCGCAUAAUAUUAAUUAUUGCAUGAUAAUUGAUUGAAAGAUGCAAGCGCAUCACUAGUAGAUGGACCUGCGUUGUAUUAGCUAGUUGGUAAGGUAAGAGCUUACCAAGGCGACGAUACAUAGCCGACCUGAGAGGGUGAUCGGCCACACUGGGACUGAGACACGGCCCAGACUCCUACGGGAGGCAGCAGUAGGGAAUCUUCGGCAAUGGACGAAAGUCUGACCGAGCAACGCCGCGUGAGUGAAGAAGGUUUUCGGAUCGUAAAGCUCUGUUGUAAGUCAAGAGCGUGUGUGAGAGUGGAAAGUUCACACA